RNAcentral lists this long non-coding RNA (314 nucleotides) under Mytilus galloprovincialis (Mediterranean mussel). Lineage: Eukaryota; Metazoa; Mollusca; Bivalvia; Mytilida; Mytilidae. The record is from RNAcentral.
AAAAAAAAAACUGAAAUGAUCCUAUAAAAAUAUAUUAGAAUAACACAGCACUACACCUAUGUAUAUUUUUAAUUUAUAAAUAUAAAUGUUAUUCUAUUUUUGAAAAAAGUUAACGUUAUUACCAAAUUGAAAUGAUAUAAAAAAAAACUUUAUUUCGUAUCUGAAUAUUCCAAAAUCCAUCAAACACUUAUAGGCCUACUUGUACAUAUGGACUUGCAUACGGUUGGUUUCUAUCCCCCACAGCUCACAUGUUAUGGUUUAUAAGCCAUGUUUGUGCCAUAUUUUACACUGUACUCAUGUUUAUUCAAAGAAUU